AGGGUGUGUAGAGAGCUCUCUACUUGUUCCUAGAAAAAAAGUUGCACCAACUCGCUCCCACCCUUCCUUUUUGUUAGAAAUCGAGUCACUUGGAUUGCUCACAAUCACACUCACGAACAUAGAAUUUUGGAACACAGGAAAUGAGAGGAAGAGGGAGCUAUGUAUUCACUUUCCUUCAGUUCUUGUUUCUCCAUACAAGCAUGAAAGUGAUCCUCCUAUUUAUAGAGAUGCAAAGAGAAUGGAUACAAAACAUCUAUAGUGUUUGAACACUAAGACUCUCCUCCUCCCUUUCAUUUAAUUGGACACCAUUCAAAGUCAUUAGUUCACAUUGUUUUUUGACUUUGAUUCACAACACUCCCCCUUGGCCAAUUAUAUGUCAUGUGUAUGCCUCGUUAAAAACUCCCCCCAAAAACCCAGUGGGAAAAAAGGGUAGGAGAAAAGAGUACAUCACACGCAUCGUUUAUGUUGCACAUGUUGCCUCGUUAAAAACCUUGCAUGAGAAAACCCAGUGGGAAAAACUCAUCAAGGAAAAAAGAGUACAACAGUUGAUGUUCAGGUCGGUCUUCAGGACCGACUCAUGAUCUUCAGAACCACGGUCAUAGAUUAUGUCUUUGGGGCUGGUCUCCCCUAAACCCUGCAACUCUCUAAGCCGCCUCAUACCAAUUCCAUGGAUGCACUUAUAGAAGCUAGAGGCGGGUAAAGAUUUUGUGAAAAGAUCUGCGAGGUUAUCGCAUGAUCUUGCUUGCAGGAUAUUUAUCUCCCCGCUCUUCUGGAGCUCAUGGGGAUAAAAGGACUU
Molecule: long non-coding RNA, 796 nt
Filed under: Sorghum bicolor (sorghum)
Lineage: Eukaryota; Viridiplantae; Streptophyta; Magnoliopsida; Poales; Poaceae
Description: long non-coding RNA (SBIC_LNC011559)
Source: RNAcentral